Molecule: long non-coding RNA, 3496 nt
Filed under: Macaca mulatta (Rhesus monkey)
Lineage: Eukaryota; Metazoa; Chordata; Mammalia; Primates; Cercopithecidae
Description: lncRNA (ENSMMUG00000061244.1)
Source: RNAcentral
AUUACAAGAAAGGGAAAGAGAAAGCAAGUGAUCACUCAUCCAGGAGCAGAUUUUUAAUAAUACUUUAGGAGAACUUUUCCUAGAAGACAGUGGCUAACGUGAACAUGCAUUUGCCUAGACCAUUUGGAGACCUGCCCAUCGAGAGAUGUAUCUGAAUGGUGACUGGACCCAGGGGUGCUGGGGCGGGGGUGUCAGGAAGCUGCUCUUGGGAAUCAGCCAUCCUGCUGCUGUUCCUGUAAAGAUUUCUGUUACUCUUUAAAUCAACUGGAAGAUUCUGUGGGCUGUCCGAUUUAGGUAAACAGUGCUGUCUUUGGCUUUCGUUAGGAUGCUCAGAAGUGAGAGCCGUUGCAGUUUGACCCUCUUUUCCUGGCUGUGGGCUUUGCUGUGAUACAAGAAGGAGGAGGUGGAAAAAACAUAAAGCAUGUGCAAGUAAAGGUUUAAAAUACAGGUGAAACUCUACCUACAGAGGCACGACUCUAACAUGCUUAAGGAUGCUUGAGAAAGCCCUGACCCUACAAAAAGGCCUAAGACCCGGGGCAAGAAUGAAGGAGUCACGCAAUGCAAAAAGCGCAUGAAGCCCAAGGUUCUCUUCCCCAGUGUUAAAUCAUCUUAAUACAGAGGACUGGGCUUUAGGACAUUCCGUGAAACUUGACUCACCGUGUUCUGUGUCUGGAAGCUCAAUGUGAAGCAGAUCUUACUUGCACUUCUAAAAGGAGGCAUGUUGAUGCAAUGGAAAAAGAUCUGAUGCAGUAAGACUCAGAGUCCUAAGAUUCUCUCUGUCUCUAACUGCCAUUACAAGCUUUUGUGAGGAUGGAAAGGUCUUUGCAGGGUGCCUGCACACGGGAAGCGUCUCUAACAGGAAAGAACAUGUUGUUGGAGCUUACCAUUCUAGUGCAGCUUCCCUCACAACAGCACCAGUGGGGCCAUCUGUCCAGAUGCCCGGCCCUGUCCUUUUGAACAUCCUAGAUGCUUCGCACCCUCCAAUCAAUGUCCUGUGAGUUGCUUUCCUGCUAAAGUUAGCCCAAGAUGAUUUCUCUUGCUUGUAACAGAAGAGUCUUGCCUUGGUCAGUUGCUGUAUUUGUUCCCUGUGGCUGCUGUAACAAGUCACCAUCAACUUGGUGGCUAAAAAGCAACAAAAAUUUCUUCUCUCACGGUGUGGAGACCAAAUAUCCAAAAUCAGUUUCACUGAGCCAAAAUCAAGGUGUGGAUUGGGCAGCACUCCCUCCUGAAGAUCUAGGGGAGAAUCCAUCCCUUGUUUCCUUUAGGUCCCUGGGGCUGCUGCAUCCCUUGGCUUGUGACCAUAUCACUCCAAUCUCUGCCUGUGUGAUCACAUUACCGUCUCCUCUCCUGUGUGUGUUGACUCUCCUUCUGUCACUCUUUUAUAAGGACCCUUGUGAUUACUUUUAGGGAGUACCAGGCUAACUCAGGAUAAUCUCCCCAUCUCAAAAUUCUUAACCUAAUCACACCUGCAAAGACCCAUUUUCCAUAUAAGGUAACAUUUAUGGGACACAGGAGUUAUUACCUGGUAUCUCUGGGGGUCAUUAUUCAGCCUACUGUAGUUGUCAGUUAUGGAGUUUGCUUUUAUAGCCUAUGUUUGCUGUACUUUUUGAUGAUGACGCUUACAAGUCUCAUUGUCUCAAUCUGGUGGGACCUGCAGGUACUAAUGGCUGUGACAUCUGGGCAGGAGACAAGCAGCAACAGGAACAGGUUUGCAGGAACCUGGAGCCAUUGGCAUCUGCUUGGCUCUGCCUCGUCUUUUGCUGUUUAUGGGUUGUUGCCUUGGCAGAGCCAUGGCUAGAGGUAUAGAGUAACUCGUACGCUUUUGACAAGAAACGGUUCUGACCCCAUAGGGGAAACACCACAGCUCUUAUGUGGUUAUUUCCAUAGCUAAUUUGAGUACAAUAUGUCAAGAAACAUGGCCCAAACCUUUCCUAUCAAAAGCAUUUAGGUUAUUAUUCUUAAAUGGUUUUGAUGGUAGUAUAUUUUACUGUAGAGACAUAACCAUGCAUUAUUUAGAUACAUAUUUCUGCUGAAUUCCAUUCCCUCUCUCCCUCAAAACUGUGAAUGCAUUUGGUGUUUAAGAACACAUGCGUGCUCCCUAACCACAGGGGCAUACGCUCAAGCCGCCCCAACAAAUGCUGCUAUUAUUGAAAUGGGUGCUCCAGAGUUAGAAAGUAGUUUUUAUUUCUUCUAGAUGUUAUGCAGAUUUAUGGUAAUAAUACUUUGUAUUGUUAACCUUUGCAUGUAAUAGUAGCAUUUGUUCCUAUCUAUUGAAACACGACCAUGUCUGUGUAACAUGCAUUAAAUAAAAAUGGAAUGUUGGCAAUUUUCAGCUCCUUUACUUCCUGCCAGCUCUCCCUUUAGAAAGCUAACUGGAAGAGAAAUAUAUUUUUUCCAGUGAAAUAUAGAAUUUGUUUUUCAAAGAAUGAAACAAAAGUAGGAGUUUGUCGUUUUGUUUGAAUUCAAAUAAUCCCUUAAAGCUAUGGGACUAAACAGCAAAUUUGAGGGGAGAGGAAGAGGGGAAGAUACCACACAAAUAGCUAAAUUUAUACCGAAAGUUCAGUGGAAACAAAAACAGUGUAGACACAUGACAGGGGAUGUCAUCAGUGGAUGCAAAAUUGGAGCUUCAGAUAAGGGGUAUUUUUAAUACACGUACAUUAGGCAGCCUUCUCCAUCACAGCAGAGACUGCAGGCCCAGGAGACCUGAUGGAUUCAUUCAUGGGUUCACUCAUUUGGUCAUUUAGCUGAUACUUAAGGAGCACUGGCACAGAGCAGAUGCUAAAAGUAACAUGGUGAGCAAAUAGUCAGGGUCUCUGUCUUCACUGGGAAGCAUCCUUGUGAAGGAAACAGACAUUAAGACCUUUCAGGUUCUUCUAGCACUUGCUUCCUGCUCAGCCACAUUCUCCUGGUAGACACCUGAUCCCCCUGUGAGUUUGUUGCAGAAAACUUGUCUUUCAGAUCCCCUUUGCCCAUUGUCUGUGUGCUCCCAAGAGUCUUCCCUUCAAUCCCACUGGGGGUCCCCAGCACCCUGGGCCAGGCCUCUCCCCAUGUUACCAACAAGGGUUCCAUGUGUUCCUGUGAAGCCAGCUCUUCAUACGGAUGGGAUGGGAUCCCUUGGUAUUGAACAAUCACCAAGUCAAGUGAAGCAUGAGCUGUUUGUUCCCCUUGACCUUGUCUUCUAAUUGCUCACUGGUUUUUCUUAUCAGCUUGUGAGAUCUCCUUGUACAGGCUUGUGAAUAUUUUUGUGUGACAUAUGUGCCGAAAAUAUUUGUCCAAUUUAUCACUUUUCAUUUGAUUAGGUGUAUAGUUUCUUUCCCCAGGUGAUACACACACACACACACACACAUAUAUAUGUAUAUACAUAUAUGAUAGACACAAAUGACAAAUACAUUAAUAUAAUUGAACAUACACAGUGAUUUCCUGUCAAGAGUAAUAUGGUCUCCCCAUGUAUAGUUUUCCUUGUCUCUAAUUUUAUUAAAUUGUGUUUGCAUUUAGA